Molecule: ribosomal RNA, 253 nt
Filed under: uncultured bacterium
Lineage: Bacteria
Description: partial 16S ribosomal RNA
Rfam family: Bacterial small subunit ribosomal RNA
Source: RNAcentral
UACGAAGGGGGCUAGCGUUGCUCGGAAUCACUGGGCGUAAAGGGCGCGUAGGCGGACGAUUAAGUCGGGGGUGAAAUCCUGGGGCUCAACCUCAGAAUUGCCUUCGAUACUGGUUGUCUCGAGACCGGAAGAGGUAAGUGGAACUGCGAGUGUAGAGGUGAAAUUCGUAGAUAUUCGCAAGAACACCAGUGGCGAAGGCGGCUUACUGGUCCGGUUCUGACGCUGAGGCGCGAAAGCGUGGGGAGCAAACAGG